Molecule: ribosomal RNA, 406 nt
Filed under: uncultured bacterium
Lineage: Bacteria
Description: partial 16S ribosomal RNA
Rfam family: Bacterial small subunit ribosomal RNA
Source: RNAcentral
AUUGAACGCUGGCGGCAGGCCUAACACAUGCAAGUCGAACGAGUGGCGGACGGGUGAGUAAUGUCUGGGAAACUGCCUGAUGGAGGGGGAUAACUACUGGAAACGGUAGCUAAUACCGCAUACCAUCAGAUGUGCCCAGAUGGGAUUAGCUAGUUGGUGGGGUAACGGCUCACCAGGGCGACGAUCCCUAGCUGGUCUGAGAGGAUGACCAGCCACACGUGAACUGAGACACGGUCCAGACUCCUACGUGAGGCAGCAGUGGGGAAUAGUGCACAAUGGGCGCAAGCCUGAUGCAGCCAGGCAGCGUGGAUGAAGAAGGCCUUCGGGUUGUAAAGUACUUUCAGCGGGGAGGCGUUACCCGCAGAAGAAGCGCCGGCUAAGUCCGUGCCAACAGCCGCGGUAAUAC